RNAcentral lists this ribosomal RNA (484 nucleotides) under uncultured bacterium. RNAcentral describes it as "partial 16S ribosomal RNA". It matches the Rfam family "Bacterial small subunit ribosomal RNA", at positions 28 to 523 of the family's 1533-position model. The record is from RNAcentral.
GAUGAACGCUGGCGGCGUGCUUAACACAUGCAAGUCGAACGGUGAAGCAGGAGCUUGCUCUUGUGGAUCAGUGGCGAACGGGUGAGUAACACGUGAGCAACCUGCCUCUGACUCUGGGAUAAGCGCUGGAAACGGCGUCUAAUACUGGAUAUGUGAUGUGACCGCAUGGUCUGCAUCUGGAAAGAAUUUCGGUUGGGGAUGGGCUCGCGGCCUAUCAGCUUGUUGGUGAGGUAAUGGCUCACCAAGGCGUCGUCGGGUAGCCGGCCUGAGAGGGUGACCGGCCACACUGGGAAUGAGACACGGCCCAGACUCCUACGGGAGGCAGCAGUGGGGAAUAUUGCACAAUGGGCGGAAGCCUGAUGCAGCAACGCCGCGUGAGGGAUGACGGCCUUCGGGUUGUAAACCUCUUUUAGCAGGGAAGAAGCGAAAGUGACGGUACCUGCAGAAAAAGCACCGGCUAACUACGUGCCAGCCGCCGCCGUAA